This 468-nucleotide ribosomal RNA is filed under the name uncultured bacterium. RNAcentral describes it as "partial 16S ribosomal RNA". It matches the Rfam family "Bacterial small subunit ribosomal RNA", at positions 28 to 507 of the family's 1533-position model. The record is from RNAcentral.
GACGAACGCUGGCGGCGUGCUUAACACAUGCAAGUCGAACGGAAAGGCCCUGCUUUUGUGGGGUGCUCGAGUGGCGAACGGGUGAGUAACACGUGAGUAACCUGCCCUUGACUUUGGGAUAACUUCAGGAAACUGGGGCUAAUACCGGAUAGGAGCUCCUGCUGCAUGGUGGGGGUUGGAAAGUUUCGGCGGGUGGGGAUGGACUCGCGGCUUAUCAGCUUGUUGGUGGGGUAGUGGCUUACCAAGGCUUUGAUGGGUAGCCGGCCUGGGAGGGUGACCGGGCACAUGGGGCCUGCGAUAGGGCGCAGACUGCUACGGGGGGCAACAGUGGGGAAUAUUGCCCAAUGGGGGGAAGCCUGAGGCAGCGACCCCGGGUGUGGGAAGAAGGCCUUCGGGUUGGAAACCGCUUUAAGUUGGGACGAAGCGGUAGUGACGUUAACGGGUGAAGAAGCACCGGCUAACUUCGUG